RNAcentral lists this unclassified non-coding RNA (337 nucleotides) under soil metagenome. RNAcentral's name for it is "partial contains 5.8S ribosomal RNA, internal transcribed spacer 2, and large subunit ribosomal RNA". The stretch from base 1 to 120 matches the Rfam family "5.8S ribosomal RNA", at positions 35 to 154 of the family's 154-position model. The record is from RNAcentral.
GAUGAAGAACGCAGCGAAAUGCGAUACGUAAUGUGAAUUGCAGAUUUCAGUGAAUCAUCGAAUCUUUGAACGCACAUUGCGCCCCUUGGUAUUCCAUGGGGCAUGCCUGUUCGAGCGUCAUUUGUACCUUCAAGCUCUGCUUGGUGUUGGGUGUUUGUCUCGCCUCUGCGUGUAGACUCGCCUCAAAACAAUUGGCAGCCGGCGUAUUGAUUUCGGAGCGCAGUACAUCUCGCGCUUUGCACUCAUAACGACGACGUCCAAAAGUACAUUUUUACACUCUUGACCUCGGAUCAGGUAGGGAUACCCGCUGAACUUAAGCAUAUCAAUAAGCGGAGGA